CUGAAUAUGUGGUAGGUUCUUGUCAAGCAGAGACCAGCAGCUACUUUAUUUAUGUUCGGAGGGCCUGAUAGUUUUGUCUCUGCCGUAAAGAGAUGGAGGAACUGGGUUUGGAAGGUGAAUUUAUUUAUUUUUCUCUGUGGCACGCAAAUCUAAAUUUUUAUAAAGUUGAAUGAAUGUAUUACGCUGUUGCUGUAGUGGCGAUAUCCUUUCUGCUACAACGAGGAAUUUUAUAUCGAGG
Pelobates cultripes (western spadefoot toad) is the source of this 238-nucleotide non-coding RNA. NCBI's taxonomy places the organism in Eukaryota, Metazoa, Chordata, Amphibia, Anura, Pelobatidae. The record is from the annotation of a GenBank genome assembly.